This 4663-nucleotide long non-coding RNA is filed under the name Brassica rapa (field mustard). RNAcentral's name for it is "long non-coding RNA (BRAP_LNC005905)". Lineage: Eukaryota; Viridiplantae; Streptophyta; Magnoliopsida; Brassicales; Brassicaceae. The record is from RNAcentral.
CGGUGGCUACGGCUUCGUCUCGACGAGAGGAACACGAUGGUGGCUCUGCAUGCGCGAGAUUCUCAACGGUUAAGAAGAUAUGGCCGAUAUACUGAACGGACGAAAACAAAGCUUAAGAGGCGGCGGUUUCCGACGAUUCUCAGCUGAGGUUGAUGGUGAUGACGAGCUUGACGAUGUCCUGGCGUGCGGUGGCUCCGGCGAGGACUCCUGGUGGCAGCAUGCAGUGGUUCCUAUCUUUUUUCUUUCACUCUCUCUCUUUUUCACUUCUUCUUCUCUCUAACUUUUCUGAUUUCUUUUUUUUGAUGCAGGUGGAGAAAACAAUGUGAAGAUGGGGUAUUUAUAAACAAACAUUUUAGUUUUGAUGUAUUGCUUGGGCCUUAGCCGGCUAACGAGUUCCGAGAUCGAAAUUCGGAUCGUUACAAUUCUCCCCCACUUAUAAGGAAUUCGUCCCCGAAUUCAAGUCAUAAUCUGACAUGUCCAAUGUCAUCGUAACAAAACCUCGAAUAAUAAUCCUUGCUCGGCUCAGGUCUCCUCUUGAAUCCUAUUCCUCCCAACGAACCUUGACCAACAUGGUCACUAGAUACAUGGUCACCACUCCCUAGACUGAUUUCACUUGCUGACCAAUAAAGAGAUAUGUUCCCAUAUAUUUUGGUUAAGCUUCUUUAGAUUCCGAGUCUUUGAUUCUUUUUGAAACAUCCUCCUUCAGAUUUAUUAGGUCGCCAACUUCAAAAUCCAAAUCCUUACGGCGCUUAUCCACGUAACUCUUCUGACGGUCAUGGGCUUCCUAACCUAAGCUUCGAGCAUUUCCAUUUGCUCUACCGUCUCUUGAAUCAUUGCUGAUUCCAUCUCACGUCUCUCCCCCACUUUGGUCCAACAAAGUGGUGUACGACUAGACCCACCAUAAAAACCUCGACGAUACUAUCAUAAUACUCAAAUGAUAACAUGUAUAUCGCGAUGAAUCUUGAUCGUUCCCAUGCUCUCCAUAACAACAAUCUGAAUUUGCUUAUAUUUCGGUUAGAAGAUCCCCCAAAAAAAACUAAAACUUAACCAAACGCGAACUCACAAAACUAUGAAAAACUCUUAAGUCAAAUAAGGUGUGAGGUAACUCACACCAACCACAACCAAUCAUACACGACAUUCACUAAUCUCGAACUAUACAAGAUAACCACAAAACCACAAAUAUUAACACAAGCAAGUAUGUUAAGAACACAUACCCGCUAUCGGCUCAGCUCCAUGGGGAUCUCCAACCGCAAACGCACAUGGAGCGAUGGCUAGACGCUUCGGUGGUGGUGGAAGUGCCGCAUUUCCCCUCCUCGGGCAAUCUCUGAUGAAGUGACCUGGCUGACCACAGCCAAAGCAGACAUGUGCCGCUGCUGGUGCUGCUGGUGCUGCAAUCUGUCUGACUGGUGGCGCAACCUGAGCAUCAAAUAGCCUACUCCGACAAACCCUACUCUUAUGUCCCAUCUUUCCACAGUAAAAGCACUGUAUGCUCGGUUUGUCCCAUGUCCUCUGCUGUGCCUCUGAAGUCCCUCCAAACUUAGGCUGAACUGCCUUGGAGUACUUCUGCUCCUCUGCCAAACCUGCCUCCUGCUCGGCAGCCUUCUCCACCAAAUCUCCCAAUCUGUGAUAAGUGACGACACGGCACCUGUUGCGAAUCUCCACUCGCAUCCCAUUCAAAAAUUUUCUCAUCAGGUCUUCCUCUAAAAUGCCCUCUCUAGCAAAUCUGCGAAGUUGGUUAAACACAACCUCAUACUCCCUGAUAGACAUCUCACCCUGGCUUACAUGCUCGAACUCGCAUUUCUUCCUAUCCAUAGCUUCCUUCGGAAAGUAUUUCCUAUCGAACUCUCGGAUGAAGUCUGCGAAGGUAAGCCUCUCUGGCCCAAGGUGACUCAAUCGUAUUCCCUCCCACCAUAUAAGAGCAUCUCCACGAAGGUACUGCAUAGUCAAUCUGAGCGACAACUCUGGUGGACACUCAAUAAUCUCCAGCUUCCGCUGCAAGGCUAACUUCCAAUCAUGUGCAGCUACAGCAUCCACUGUCCCACUAAAAUGCUCCAUAUCCAUGUUCCUCAUCUGACGCGUCAGCCUGUAGAACCUCUCAUCAUAAACCGGGUAAACAUGAGGUCGCGGUGGUGGUGGUGGUAGAUCCUGAACACCAUGAGCAAACUGCUGAGCUGGUCCGUGCUGCAGUGGAACCUGAGGAAGGGGAACCUGCUGAACGGGAUCCUGAUGAUCAUGCUGAGCGGGAAUCUGCUGAUCCUGCUGGACCUGAACCGGUGGAACUUGCUGAACCUGAAUCUGUGGACCCUGCUGCACCUGAACCUGAGGAGCCUGCUGAACUGCAGCCAUCUGACGAGCAACCUCCUGAGCAGCUACUCGGGCAGCCUCCUGAGCGGCCUGCCUGGCUGCCUCCUGGGCAAUCUGCUGAAGUGCCUCCUGAGCGGCCUGUCUAGCGGCAUCCUGAACCAUCUGUCUCAAUGCAUCCUGAUCAACUGGUGGAGCCGCGGGUGGCGGAACUGCGGGCUGCUCAUGCUCAUCUAAAUCGUCUCUAACAGCUCUGGCGGUCUGGGCACGAGUGGUUCUUCUCCUUGGCGGCAUCUGAAAGGAAAGCGAAAAGUCAACAUACGCUGAACUUUUGAUACCAACAUUUAAGGAGAAGUGAUAUCGAACGGAAAUGUGCUAUUUAUUUUCAUUUUCAAAAUCCCCAAAUCCCCGAAAAUAUUUUGAAAUCGUCUAAAACCGUCAAAACCGAAUAAAACCGAAUAAAACCGAAUAAAACCAGGUCUCCAAAAAUCGCCAUCCCGGGUCGGAGCCGGGACAGAACCCCGCUCUGAUACCAAAACUGUGACAUCCGUCACUUUCGAAAUAAUAAAAACAAUUCAAUAAAUAAUAGUUUAUGAAAUCUUCAUUUAUAAAUAUAAAAGUCAACGUCCACGCUGUAAAUCCAUAAUAUAAAAUAACAUCCGAAAUAUAGAUAACGGUAUAAGUCCGAAAUAUAAAGACAACAUAAAUCCGUAAGUCUGAAAUAGGAAAUAACAUAAACGAUAAAAGCCAAAGGCCUAAAAGCCCGAUAACGAUAAAAGCGAUAGAAGCCCAAAAGUCCAAUAGCACCGGUCCGAUAAUCACUCCUGCUCGUCGGUCUCACCUGAAAGGGGGAAAGAAGGAGGGGUGAGCAACAGGGGAGUUGCCCAGCGAGGUAUGGGAUGCUAAACCGCAAACCACAGACUGAGUUCAUAGCACUACUAAAAUGUAGGCAUAGCUCUAGCAUGAAACAAACACGGUGCCUAUUACACCACACAUAACAAUCAAUAUUCGGCUAGAGGACUAGCCGUUACAACUCAUGCGCUUAUAGUACAUAGCUACUCUAUGCACCACGCAUCUCCUCAUAAGGAUAUAUACAUAUACUCGAAGCGUCGCUAGUACAGUCUGUCUUUGUACCCCCGCCCAUCGUAGCGUCAAAUGCAAACGUCUCUGCACCACGCCCCAAACAGUAGCGUCGAAGCUCAAACGUCUCUGAACUCACGCCCAUACCAUACCGUAGUGUCGAAGCUCAGACAUCUCUGAACUCACGCCCUCAUCACAUAAUCCCUACUCAUAACUAUGUAUAUACAUAUAUAUAGCAGUUUUUAGCAUCAAUCAUUUCACACAAUCGUUGAAUCCUCUAUUAUCCUAAUUCCGGUUAACAAUAAAUAUCAAUAAUGAACAAGCAAGACUCUCAAACAGACUCGAUUCACAGAGACGGAUCAUGUUUCGAAACUAAACUUUCCAUAAUGGUAGUACUAAACUAGCUCGGGGUUUAACGGAGUAGCCCUCACCUUAGUAAUAGGGAAAUGUGGUAUCUAUGAACUCCAGAUGCUCAAAUAGACUCCAAAUCUGAAAUCAGGGCGAAAAAUCGAGUGAGAACGCCUUUCGAACGGUUUAAAACGGGUCUGGUUAAGGUUUAUGGAAAAGUCAAUUCGAUGGUCAAAGGUCAAUCCGGUCAACCCUUGACCAGAAAUCAAUUUGUCCUAACCGACCGGUUUACCCUAACCGAAACGAAAUUAAUUUAAACCGGUCAAACCAGUCAAACCAGCGGUUAACCGAGUCAACCGAGUUGACUCACCGGGUCGACUCAGCCGAGUUGGCGAGUCGUCGGCGAGUCACCGGCGACGGUCACCGACGGCGACGGCGAUGGCUUACCGGUGGUGACGGCGGACGACGGCGGCGACAGAAGGCGGAGCACGGCGACAGCGACGGCGUUCCGGUAGUGGUGAGGCGGUGGUCUGGCGGCGGAGACGAUUUCCGGCAGCGGCGCGUAUAACUCACGCGCGCACAGAGGCGAAGCUUCCGGAGGCUCUAGCGGCUUCGUCCGGACUCCGAUUGCGGCGUGGUCGGUGGCUACGGCUUUGUCUCGACGAGAGGAACACGAUGGUGGCUCUUCAUGCGCGAGAUUCUCAACGGUUAAGAAGAUAUGGCCGAUAUACUGAACGGACGAAAACAAAGCUUAAGAGGCGGCGGUUUCCGACGAUUCUCAGCUGAGGUUGAUGGUGAUGACGAGCUUGACGAUGUCCUGGCGUGCGGUGGCUCCGGCGAGGACUCCUGGUGGCAGCAUGCAGUGGUUCCUAUCUUUUUUUCUUUCACUCUCUCUCUUUUUCACUUCUUCUUCUCUCUAACUUUUCUGAUUUCU